AUUUGCAUUUUCCUACAGGGUUGGUAUUGGACGCGUCCAAAACCAUUCUCAUGAGCUAUAAAUUGCCUAAUUUGUUUUUCAUUUAUCUAGGGAUUGAUUUUGGAUGUAUCCAGAACCAUUUUCCUUGGCGCUAAAAUCGGUAAAUUGAUUUGCAUUUUCCUAUAGGUUUGGUUUUGGACGCAUCCAAAACCAUUCUCAUGAGCUAUGAAUUGCCUAAUUUGUUUGCAUUUGUCUAGGGAUUGGUUUUGGAUGCAUCCAGAACCAUUUUCAUUAGCGCUAAAAUCGGUAAAUUGAUUUCCAUUUCCCUUAGCUGAUGCUAUCUUAACCAAAACUAUUGUAAAUUAUAGCAUAUUCGUACCAUAGAUUCCUUGUAUAUUAUUGCCUUUAUUGUAUAUAAUGUAUCUUAAUAAAGUGGGUAAAUAAAGGUUUUUUAAUCUGUUGUCAAGUCAAAGUGU
This 455-nucleotide long non-coding RNA is filed under the name Paramuricea clavata. Lineage: Eukaryota; Metazoa; Cnidaria; Anthozoa; Malacalcyonacea; Plexauridae. The record is from RNAcentral.